This 435-nucleotide ribosomal RNA is filed under the name uncultured Lachnospiraceae bacterium. RNAcentral describes it as "partial 16S ribosomal RNA". It matches the Rfam family "Bacterial small subunit ribosomal RNA", at positions 341 to 792 of the family's 1533-position model. The record is from RNAcentral. Lineage: Bacteria; Bacillati; Bacillota; Clostridia; Lachnospirales; Lachnospiraceae.
ACGGGAGGCAGCAGUGGGGAAUAUUGGGCAAUGGGCGCAAGCCUGACCCAGCAACGCCGCGUGAAGGAUGAAGGUCCUCGGAUUGUAAACUUCUUUGAUCAGGGACGAAUUUUGACGGUACCUGAAGAACAAGUCACGGCUAACUACGUGCCAGCAGCCGCGGUAAUACGUAGGUGACAAGCGUUAUCCGGAUUUACUGGGUGUAAAGGGAGCGUAGACGGCAAAGCAAGUCUGAAGUGAAAUCCCGGGGCUCAACCCUGGAACUGCUUUGGAAACUGUUUAGCUAGAGUGCAGGAGAGGUAAGUGGAAUUCCUAGUGUAGCGGUGAAAUGCGUAGAUAUUAGGAGGAACACCAGUGGCGAAGGCGGCUUACUGGACUGUAACUGACGUUGAGGCUCGAAAGCGUGGGGAGCAAACAGGAUUAGAUACCCUGGUA